RNAcentral lists this ribosomal RNA (198 nucleotides) under Cheyletus malaccensis. RNAcentral describes it as "partial 28S ribosomal RNA". It matches the Rfam family "Eukaryotic large subunit ribosomal RNA", at positions 1278 to 1466 of the family's 3401-position model. Lineage: Eukaryota; Metazoa; Arthropoda; Arachnida; Trombidiformes; Cheyletidae. The record is from RNAcentral.
GUGUGUAACAACUCACCUGCCGAAGCAACUAGCCCUGAAAAUGGAUGGCGCUGAAGCGUUGAACCUAUACCCUACCGAGAGUUUAAUCUUGCAAUGAACAAAUACUCUCGAGUAAGAGUAACGCAGUGAUAGCGUAGAGGGGAUAGAUUUGUGUCUACCUGGAGCUUUCACUGUUGCAGAUCUUGGUGGUAGUAGCAA